Molecule: ribosomal RNA, 490 nt
Filed under: uncultured bacterium
Lineage: Bacteria
Description: partial 16S ribosomal RNA
Rfam family: Bacterial small subunit ribosomal RNA
Source: RNAcentral
GAUGAACGCUAGCGAUAGGCUUAACACAUGCAAGUCGAGGGGCAGCAUGGUCUUAGCUUGCUAAGGCUGAUGGCGACCGGCGCACGGGUGCGUAACGCGUAUGCAACUUGCCUCACAGAGGGGGAUAACCCGUCGAAAGACGGACUAAUACCGCGUACACUCUAUGUUGGGCAUCCAAUGUAGAGGAAAUGAAAUUCGCUGUGAGAUAGGCAUGCGUCCCAUUAGCUAGCUGGUGAGGUAACGGCUCACCAAGGCGACGAUGGGUAGGGGAACUGAGAGGUUGAACCCCCACACUGGUACUGAGACACGGACCAGACUCCUACGGGAGGCAGCAGUGAGGAAUAGUGGUCAAUGGGCGAGGGCCUGAACCAGCCAAGUCGCGUGAAGGAUGACUGUCUUAUGGAUUGUAAACUUCUUUUAUACGGGAAUAACAAGAGUCACGUGUGGCUCCCUGCAUGUACCGUAUGAAUAAGCAUCGGCUAACUCCGUG